GACGAACGCUGGCGGCGUGCCUAACACAUGCAAGUCGAGCGGGGAACAGAUGGUAGCUUGCUACUGUUUGUUUCUAGCGGCGGACGGGUGAGUAACGCGUGAGCAACCUGCCUUUAUCAGGGGGAUAACGCAUCGAAAGAUGUGCUAAUACCGCGUAAGACCACAGCUUCACAUGGAGCGGGGGUCAAAGGAGCAAUCCGGAUAAAGAUGGGCUCGCGUCCGAUUAGCUAGUUGGUGAGAUAACAGCCCACCAAGGCGACGAUCGGUAGCCGACCUGAGAGGGUGAUCGGCCACAUUGGAACUGAGAGACGGUCCAGACUCCUACGGGAGGCAGCAGUGGGGAAUAUUGGGCAAUGGGCGAAAGCCUGACCCAGCAACGCCGCGUGAGGGAAGAAGGGUUUCGGCUCGUAAACCUCUGUCCUAUGGGACGAAGGAAGUGACGGUACCAUAGGAGGAAGUCCCGG
RNAcentral lists this ribosomal RNA (464 nucleotides) under uncultured bacterium. RNAcentral's name for it is "bacterial SSU rRNA". It matches the Rfam family "Bacterial small subunit ribosomal RNA", at positions 28 to 496 of the family's 1533-position model. The record is from RNAcentral.